GCCCCUUUGGUGUAAACGGCUAAGCACGCCGGACUUUCGAUCCGGUAAACCCGGUUCAAAUCCGGGAGGGGGUA
This 74-nucleotide transfer RNA is filed under the name candidate division MSBL1 archaeon SCGC-AAA259O05. RNAcentral's name for it is "candidate divison MSBL1 archaeon SCGC-AAA259O05 tRNA". It matches the Rfam family "tRNA". From Rfam's summary of the family: Transfer RNA (tRNA) molecules are approximately 80 nucleotides in length. Their secondary structure includes four short double-helical elements and three loops (D, anti-codon, and T loops). Further hydrogen bonds mediate the characteristic L-shaped molecular structure. tRNAs have two regions of fundamental functional importance: the anti-codon, which is responsible for specific mRNA codon recognition, and the 3' end, to which the tRNAs corresponding amino acid is attached (by aminoacyl-tRNA synthetases). tRNAs cope with the degeneracy of the genetic code in two manners: having more than one tRNA (with a specific anti-codon) for a particular amino acid; and 'wobble' base-pairing, i.e. permitting non-standard base-pairing at the 3rd anti-codon position. The record is from Rfam by way of RNAcentral. Lineage: Archaea; Methanobacteriati; Methanobacteriota.